This is a long non-coding RNA of Gallus gallus (chicken), 1290 nucleotides long. NCBI's taxonomy places the organism in Eukaryota, Metazoa, Chordata, Aves, Galliformes, Phasianidae. The record is from Ensembl.
UGUUAAUGAAGAACAGAGGGAUUUUAAAAGAAUCUGAGAACUCAGGGUUACAGCUAGCUGUCUGACACUUAGACUAGAAAACCUUAAUUUUUCAGACUUUAAGAGAAAGAUGUUUAAAGUAUUAGAUAUGCUUGUUCCUAGAAGUGCUGUAUCUGAUGGUAUUAAAAAGAAAAAGCCAAAUGAGAGAUCAUGAAAAAAACAGAGCACAGUAUUGUAUCUUUGAACAGUAGACGUGUAACUGUAUUCGGUUGUUACUCAGAAUUUUAUAAUUGCAUUGUUCUCUUCUUAUACAGAAAAAAUGUCUUUACAAAAGGUACAGAAAAUACGCCUUCUGUGUAAUAAUGGGAAUGAAUAUCUGCAUAUUUCUCUUAUGGCACGAAAUUAAAGCAUGACCACAGGUAGUUUGCUGCCUAUACUUCACUUGGAAAUGGGAGAAUAACUCUUGUGCCAAAAACAAUGAAUUGGAGAUGAAGAUAUAAAAAUCAAGGUGGGAGAGUUAAGUAUUAUUGCCAAACAAGAUUUUUAUUUCUUCUGUCUACCCAAAUUGAGAUUGGAAACUGUAGGUAGAAGGGAAAUGUACUUCAUUUCAAUCUGCUACUGGUUGAGAGGUAUCCUACCAACUUUUCAUAGAAUCAUAGAAUCAUUAAGGUUUGAAAAGACCUCUAAGAUCAUCUAGUCCAACUGUUAAUGCACCCCCACCAUGUCCACCAAACCAUGUUCCUCUGCACCACAUCUAUCUUUUUCGUGACUAUCUCCAGGGACGGUGACUCCACCACUUCCCUGUGCAGCCUGUGCCAGUGCCUGACCACUCUUUCUGAGAUGCAGUUUUUCCUAAUAUCCAACCUAAACCUCCCCUGUGCAACUUAAGGCCAUUACCUCUUGUCAUAUCUGUGUUAUCUGGGAGAAGAAACCCAACCCUAUGUCUCCACAACCUCCUUCCAGGGAGUUGUAGAGAACCUUGAGGAAUCUCCUGAGCCUCCUCUUUUCCAGACCAAACCAUCCCAGUUCUCUCAGACACUCUCCCUGCACUUUGGACUCUUCACAGCUCUGUUGCCCCUCUCUGGACACGCUCCAGGGCUUCAGUGUCUUGUAGUAAGGGGCCCAAAACUGAAUAUGGUACUCAAGGUGUGACCUCACCUCCUGCAUCUGCUGGCUGCACUAUUUCUGAUACAAACCAGGAUGCCACUGGCUUUCUUGGCCACCUGGGCACACUGCUGGCUCAUGUUCAGCCAUCUGUUGACUAAUUGCCUUAGAUCCCUUUUCUCCCUGCAGCUUUCCAGCCACUCUGCC